Pecten maximus is the source of this 427-nucleotide long non-coding RNA. RefSeq lists it as uncharacterized. The record is from RefSeq and is a predicted model, not a curated record. The transcript has 2 exons. NCBI's taxonomy places the organism in Eukaryota, Metazoa, Mollusca, Bivalvia, Pectinida, Pectinidae.
AUCACAUCUAUAACACUAUAUAGUUAUACAGAGGUUACCUGGAGGUUUGUAUCACAUCUAUAACACUAUAUAGUUAUACAGAGGUUACCUGAAGGUUUGUAUCACAUCUAUAACACUAUAUAGUUAUACAGAGGUUACCUGAAGGUUUGUAUCACAUCUAUAACACUACAUGUAUAUAGUUAUAAAGAGGUUACCUGGAGGUUUGUAUCACAUCUAUAACACUAAUGACAUCAUAGUUAUACAGAGGUUACCUGGAGGUUUGUAUCACAUCUAUAACACUAUAUAGUCAUACAGAGGUUACAUGUACCUGAAGGUUUGUAUCACAUCUACAACACUAUAUACAUGUAGUUAUACAGAGGUUACCUGGAGGUUUGUGUAAAGUUUCUUUAUGGCAUAAGCAGAACACCAUUUCGUCACAUAGAACAAA